Molecule: ribosomal RNA, 458 nt
Filed under: uncultured bacterium
Lineage: Bacteria
Description: partial 16S ribosomal RNA
Rfam family: Bacterial small subunit ribosomal RNA
Source: RNAcentral
CCUACGGGAGGCAGCAGUGGGGAAUAUUGCACAAUGGGGGAAACCCUGAUGCAGCGACGCCGCGUGAGUGAAGAAGUAAUUCGUUACGUAAAGCUCUAUCAGCAGGGAAGAAACACUGACCUUACGGUCAGCAGACGGUACCUGAGUAAGAAGACCCGGCUAACUACGUGCCAGCAGCCGCGGUAAUACGUAGGGGGCAAGCGUUAUCCGGAUUUACUGGGUGUAAAGGGAGAGUAGACGGUGCGACAAGUCUGGGGUGAAAUGCCGCAGCUUAACUGCGGAACUGCUUUGGUAACUGGCGAACUAGAGUGCGGGAGGGGUGAGCGGAAUUCCUAGUGUAGCGGUGAAAGGCGUAGAUAUUAGGAGGAACACCGGUGGCGAAGGCGGCUUACUGGACCGUAACUGACGUUGAGGCUCGAAAGCGUGGGGAGCAAACAGGAUUAGAUACCCCUGUAGUC